This 73-nucleotide transfer RNA is filed under the name Myxococcales bacterium. RNAcentral describes it as "tRNA-Gly". It matches the Rfam family "tRNA". From Rfam's summary of the family: Transfer RNA (tRNA) molecules are approximately 80 nucleotides in length. Their secondary structure includes four short double-helical elements and three loops (D, anti-codon, and T loops). The record is from RNAcentral. Lineage: Bacteria; Pseudomonadati; Myxococcota; Myxococcia; Myxococcales.
GCGGGUGUAGCUCAACUGGCAGAGCGCUGGUCUUCCAAACCCGAGGUUGAGGGUUCGAUCCCCUCCUCCCGCU